RNAcentral lists this long non-coding RNA (3126 nucleotides) under Homo sapiens (human). Its description in RNAcentral is "HSALNT0116549". The record is from RNAcentral. Lineage: Eukaryota; Metazoa; Chordata; Mammalia; Primates; Hominidae.
AGACAGACGCGCGGGGUCCUAGGGAAGAGCCCAGGCAGGGGGAAGCCCGUGGGCGGUGAGACCCUCCCGUGCCACGGGCGCAGCGCAGCGCUGGCUGGGGCCGACGGGGCGCACCGGCGGACGGUGAUGAACCCGGAGACCCGGCAGCCAGGCUGGGCUGCAGCAGCCUUUGCCUGGACGUCAGGGUGGAGCCCGGGAAUCGCCCCUGCGCCGGGUGACGGAGGAGAAAGGGGCCCGCAGGAGGCAGGAGGGAGCGCCUGGCACAGGGACCCAGGGACUCGAGCAGGUGGUCCCUGGGGAACGGGGAGUGAGGCCGGAAGGAGAGAAAGCCAAGACCAGGUGCGUUUUGGAAAUUGCUGCUGUGAGCCGCAAGACGUUCGCAGGCUCUGCUGCGAGCCCCCAGGACGUCCCCCGGUGUCCACCUCCGGGCGGCUCUCGCGGCCAGACAAGGAGCCCUGAGGGGCGGCCUCAAGGAGCGCCCAGGCCGCUGAGCUCCCAGGGCGGCACAGAGGGAGCCCGGGGGUCCCCAGCUCUGGCCUCGCCGUCUUGUCUUGCUGGAGCUGCACCCCCACGCAGCCCGGGUUCAUGUGGGGAGCAUUUGGAGCACAGUUCCACCCAAGGUUAACAUCCACUUUCCUCAUGAAAGAGGAACAGAAACCAAGAAUAACCACAAUUUCUGAAGACCUCUUGGAAAUCGGGAAUUCUAGCUUCCCAGUUCCAAGGAUAAAAGUUGGCAAUGAAUCCCUUAAGUGGUGGCCAUGAACACACCUAAAACUUUCAAACGGACACCGAGGAGCCCGCAACGGGUGAGCCUUUGCAAUUUGAAAACAUGAAUAAGAGCACGUCAGGCAGUUCUUGUCUGGGCGGCUGGUCAGGUCCAAUGGGCACAGCCACUUUGUGCAUGGAGGAAACGUCGGAAGUGUCAGGAAGCCCCGCUUUCUUUCUUUCUGCCACAUUUUCUGUGUGAAAUGUUUCUACUGAUUUAAUGCCAGCAGACCUUUCAAAUGGGAAGACGUAUUGGUGUCUUAUUCCACUAAAUUCUAUCUAAAACUUUCUUUACUUCAUGACUCAUCAGAGAUUGAUGAGGGGCCAGGACUCAGCCUUGAAAAAUGGCUAGGCUGGGGCAUCGAGGAGUCCCUGGCUAGGAAGGAGCCUCAAGGCCUCUGAUGCAGGGGCUCCCUGAGGGCUGGGCUGUUGUGGAAAUUGUGCUGGAGAGGAGGACUGAUGCUUAGACCCAGUGGAUCUAAAUCUCUGAAGAAAGGGCCUGGAAAUCCUUGUUUUCAAGCUCCCAGGUAUUUCUGUACACAGCUGGGACCAGGGAAAGAACUCAAGCCCUCAUCUAGAUAAUGCCUUCAUCACAGGGCCGCACCACCCCCUGCCUGACUCUACGGUGUCACCAGCCCUUCUGGUAGAAGGUCCUCCCUGGCACGGAGCUGCAUCUGUCUCCAUUAGCAUUUAACCCUGGGUCCUGGUUCUCUUUCCAGCAGCCAAGAGAAUGAAGCUUUACACUUGGCCUGGAAUUCCUGUCUGUGUGACUUUUUGAUGUCGUCCAUGAAGGCUUUGUGAUUGAUAAAGACUAGUUGUAGCUGUUUCCAUUCUGUAAAUAUGUAUGCAAUGUAUUAAAACCACACACUUAGGAACUCUGGCUUCUCCUAAGUUUUAAAGAUCAACUUACAGAACAUUUUUACUCUAUUAUACACGUUGUUAGUUAAAUAUUCAAGAAGUCUUUGGUUCGUGUUCCCCCUCAUUGAAAUUGAGUCAACUGAAUUUCCUUAAACAAUCAGUCUUAUGUACAAACUUAGUUAGGUUUCUGUUGACACUUCAUGCUACGUUCAUAAAUUUUCUCUGUUUUCCUGUUAAGCAUUUCAAGUGCCCAGGCUGGAAGUAGUACCUGUCCAAGAACCUCCAGCCACUCCAGUGGAUUAAAGAAUUCGACUCUGGGAUGUGGUGAAUCUCAAGUUCUGUUAACACUCAAAAACUUUUUAGACCUUCCAACUAAAAAUCACACUCACAAUUCAAAAUAAAUUACCCAGCUGAAAGAAUGACAGGUUUCCUCCAUCAGUCUCUAAAUUUAUCAAAUUCAUCACCCAAGAUACGCAGACCUGUUUUAAUGCAAAAGUAUUAAGAUGAUGGGAUUGAUUAAGUCCCUCACCUUGUUCUUUAGUUCUAAGCCUUCCAGGAGCUAAGGGAGCACUUACCACCAAGAGAAUGCUUAGCAUCUGAAAGGGGUUGAGUUUGCCAUCCCAGGAGAAUUGGCAUUAACAUCCCAGGAAACCUAAGACUCCAUCUCAGUCGGCUAAGUAUGCAUAUUGGCCAGAGAGUUUUGACCCGGACCUGAACCCCAGGAGGACUGGGACUUUCUUAUAGCAAACCAUGGCCUUUCAGCCACCUCUGCUGCCAGCCAACAUUUCACUGAAGGUUUCCAUUCCUUCCACAAUGCUCAGAUUCUUCUGUGGGGUCAGAGAGAGGAGAAUACCUCUUAUAAGGUCUUGCACAACAUUUCAUCCACUGUUUUCUCUCCUGAGCGCAUGCCAAGUGCAGAGAACUGCAAACCCUACACUAGUAAUGGGUCCCCAUUGUGGAAGCUGCCCCCUGUUGAGGACACCGGCAUCCUUUGAGGUUGCAUAAGCCCACACUGGAGGAGGGGGUGGCUUAUGCAGAAGCUGAGAAGCUGAGGACAAGGCACUUUGAAAGGAGGUUGUCCUCCUUUGGAGCCCUGUUCUUGCCUUUGCAAUGUGAUUUCAACAGUUCCGUGUGUGUGUGUGUGUGUGUGUGUGUGUGUGUGUGUGUGAAGAAUGAUUGUGCUCUUUGGGGCAACAAAACAGAUUAGGGCAAUGCAUCAUGAGGACCUCUUGCCAAGUUACUAACAGAGGAAGUCUGUAUCACUGCAGUGGGAUCUUAGGGUGCCUCCCUGUUUUAUGCCUGGAAAAACAAGCACAACAUGCACAAUUACAAACAAAAAAACUAGGGUUGGCAUUGCCAAAACUUUCACUGAUAACUUCUUUUUCCAGCUGUACUGUUUGUGCACACAUGCAAACAUAUUUGUCCUGUUUGUUUGGAAAUAGGGAUGGAGAUAGAACAUAGAAUGCAAGUAAUGUUAGUUAUCAGCAUUUUGCUCAGUAUUUC